UAGACGUUUUUAUUUCGCAUUUUGAUUUAUUGUCGUGAAUUAUAAUUGUUUAAACAAUGACGACGGUGAAAAUGUUGACAUAAAGAUAUUAUCUUUAUGUUACGAUCGACAGUGGAUUUCCACGGUUAGGAUUUUCAACGGUUACUUUUAGUGACAAUUUUUUGCACAAAACAUUGUCGUAAUUGCUACUUUGCAUGUUUUAAUUUUGAGGUCUUUUGAAUAUAGAUCGAAGGUUUCUAAUUUUGCUUACACAACGUGCAGUUGCCGAAAAAAAGGAUAGCAACUUUGUCUCUGUGAUGGUGUGAGUCAACGCGACGCGGCAUGCGCGACCGCGCACGGAACCCAAGGAUUGGACAACACGGUGGCGCGAUGCAACACGCCACGCCGCGCUCGCUCCCAGCUAUAGAACUACACGUCCAAAUACACGACCCAAUGUAGUGAUCCGGUCAUUUUGCUCUCGACGAAAACAAAAUAUAAAUACGUUGUCACAGAAUUUUAAAUCAGACUAUAUCAUGAGAAAUCCUUUAUAUUAUUACGAAACAUGUAUGAUGAAAUAAAGAAAAAACUUCACGUUGAAAGCGCAGUUACAUUAUCACAUGUUUUCGCAUAAAUUAUAAUAGUCCUGCGUGUGGUCGGGCUCGGCCAGCACGAAGCCGGGCGCGCCGGCCGCCGCGCGCACCUCGCUCAUCUCGCUCACCA
Molecule: long non-coding RNA, 699 nt
Organism: Papilio polytes (common Mormon)
Lineage: Eukaryota; Metazoa; Arthropoda; Insecta; Lepidoptera; Papilionidae
Exons: 3
Source: RefSeq, a predicted model, not a curated record